Passer domesticus (house sparrow) is the source of this 4292-nucleotide long non-coding RNA. RefSeq lists it as uncharacterized. The transcript is spliced from 3 exons. The record is from RefSeq and is a predicted model, not a curated record. Lineage: Eukaryota; Metazoa; Chordata; Aves; Passeriformes; Passeridae.
UUACAGCUGGCAGUGAGCUCACAGGCUCAGCAUCAAAGAAUGUUACACAGUUGGGUCAUUUUGUGUGCUACUGCUGGGACAUGAGGGAGGCUGCAUCUCUGCGGGCUACAGAUCCUCCCUCAUACUGUCCUCCUUCCCAAAUACAGGAAAUCUGGUUUGGUGCAGAGAACCAGCAGAAAGAAUUUUCUUUUCUUUUCUUUUGUUUUUGAGAGCAAUUAACCUCUGGUGUAGUUAGUUUGCUGUUGAUAGAGCUCAUAAGGAAAGGUCAAGUAAGGAGGGAAAACCACAGGCCUAGUAGGAAAGAAACAGGAUAGUUUCAUCAUGUGCAGGACAAACUGAAGGGGACAGCUUCAAUCUCAAGGGAGUCAUGAGGAAGAGGUGGCAAAGAGGAAGGCACAGUAGUGGAGAAAGGGGAAGGAAAGGUCAGGUAGAGAACUGCAGGAGGUUCAUCCCAGUAACAGGCAGGAGGAGGUGAAAUGCAGGGAGCUGGAGGUGUGUUGACAGAAACCAUCAGGCUGUAAACCCAUCAAGAGUCCCAAAAGGCAGUGCUGAGACAACUGGGGACCUCAUGAAACUAAGUGGACAACGCAGGUGCAAGUUUCCUUGCACUUCUGAGGCACAAACCCAUCAGGGGAAGAAGGCAAAGAGCGAGCCAGGGAGAGACUUGCAAAACACCAAGGGCAGCAUUUCCAGGAGGGAUGCCAGCACCUGGCGAGGAGGGACAGUGCAGAAGCCUUGAGGCGAUGCGCCACGACGCUGUGCAGGGCGAGAGGGCGGCGCUCUGGGAGCGGGGAAGCUUCGAGGGGCUGCACCGAGCGGGGCAGCCGGUCCCGGCUCGCCCAGACAGGGAGCUCUUACGAUAUGAUGAGGUUUGACAUCCCUCAUAGCUGAGAUUCGGUGUGAAAAAGUCUGUGCUUGGGCAGGGGAGUGAACUCAGGCAAAGAGGAAAACAGAAUACAUGCCCAGGACUUUUCUUCACUGCUCAAUGGGAAAAAGAAUGACAGUGUGCUGGAAACUGAGAAGAAGCUUCAUAUAUUCAAAGAUGCUGCUCCUGACCUUUUGUUCAGCAGAGAGAGAAAAUAAAACAACAUCUACCAAACUUGAAGCAACAUAAAUUCUCUUGGACACCCAAAAGGUUCUUCCCCUGCCAUCUUCCUAAACAGAUAUUAUUUUUCAUCUAAAGACACAGAAAACAAGGACUGCAUAAAAAACCAAUAGAAGAAACAUUUAAAAAUGGGCUAUCAUUCUUAAAGCAUCUGAUCAAUUAAAUUACCAUUAUUUCCCCAUCCCCCUCCAGUCUUACUGUAUACAAACAGAAUAAACAAUCAAAUUCACAUUGAAGUCCAGGGCUUCAUUUUUCUGUAGCUCAAACACGUUUCAGAACAGACUAGGCUCCAUUUGUAUACACAUAUAUUAACGAAAGAACACAUUUCAAUUAAAAACCCUUUCUAUGUUUCAAGCUGCUUAUAUCUUAUACAUACAGAUACAUUUCACACAUUGGGGGAACAGGCACACACAGCCAAGCCCAAGCAGUUAACUACUAGCACCCUUCCUUUGUUCAGCUCCCACAAAUUUCUGCUGCUGGUGGGUGUAAGUCUUUUGAACUUUUUGAAAGAAAGGGAAAAUUGUAGCUCAGUGUGUUUAACCAUGUGCCUUCCAGGGCUGCAGGCAGAACUUGAGAAGGAGCAAUAUGAAUGUGUGGUGAGCAGCUCACAGCAUUCCUUGGGGCUUUUCUGUUGUUUCUGCAACUGUUUAUCAAUUUCAGUAGGACACACAAUGGGAACACAAGUAUCCAUGUGCCUCAGGCAUCACCCAGCAUUUACUCAGCAACAGGAGGAAGACGAGUACUUUGAGCUUUGCUCUCUGGGUUGAAAAUUGAAAUGAGCUGGUUCAAACAGAAUGCUGGAGAAUGUACCCACUGUCCUGCAUGAGGGGAAAUGCCUCCCUGUUAGAGGUGCUGGUUGUACUCCUCAUACCUACCCCAGCUUUUAAACACAAUUAAAUAUACCUCUUUUGUUAGCUUGGAAGGGCAUGCCUUCUACAGCUAAUGCCCUGUAGCAAUAUUGACAGACACGGUCAUAACAACAAUGUCAUGGCCAGAGAAAGAAAGGAAAAUACUGCUGACCUGACUGCAGUAUAGAAGUUUUCCAAUAUGUUAUGUAUUUAGAAGUAAAAAAAUAGUUUGAAAAUUUAAGAAAUGGGGUAGGAAAAUCUAAGGAGGCCACAGUCAAGAAUCUGUAAACAGGAACGGCUCUUUAGAAGAGAAUACAGAAACAGAUGACUACCCAGAAAAGUAGAAGAGAGCUUUAACUCAUAUUAACACCCAGAUAUAACAAUAAAAUAAAUGCCUACCUCUUUAAAUCAGAUUCAUUGUGCACCCAAGGAAUUGUACUCCUGUUCAGAAAAGAACACAUGAAAUCUCUGUCACACAUUUGUCUAACCCAAGAUCAAGCUGCCAAAACUGAUGAGCAAACAGAAGAAGCAAAAUCUUCAAAAACUCUACCCACCCUGCUCCUGUAACAAGCUAGGUAAGGACGAUCCACUCUGACCAAGUGGAAACCAUUUCCCCUUUCCUUUGGAAAUCAGCACCUGGGCAGCCUCCUUUAAGCUGAGGUUGUGCUGCUUCAUGGCAGGUGAGAGCCUGUGAAAGGUCAGGGAUUGCUGAGAGGUCAACUAAGGGAAAAAGAAAAAACAUGUGCAAUAAGCAUCUUCCCAUUAUAUCCCAAGGUUGCACAUUUGGUUUUCCCAAGCUGGGAAGGGAGGUUGGGCCCUGCACUGCUCCCUGGGGAAAGGCUGCUCUGCCAGCCUGCCUCUGACUCACUGUUGUGACAUCUGGUAUUAAAGCUUAGGCAGUUUGAAGAUCUGGAAAAGAGCAUUUAAAAACCCGUUAUUUCACCUGUUCAUUUGAUUUUUAAAUAACUGUGUUAAUUCUUAUUUACCACAUCAGGCCCCUGAAUAUACUGAGCAUUGUUCCAAGUUAUUGUAACCUUCCCUCUUAAAGUGGAUUUAAGCCAUUACAGUCUAUCACAUAAAUCCUUCUUAGUUUGUGGAUUAUUGACCUGAUAGGCCCAAACAGCUCCAUCUGUCCUUUUAAAUGGGCAUGAAUGCUGUGAGUGUUUAUUGCUUUCAAUCCUAUUAUUUGCAAAAUGCUUUCUUUCUCUGUCUCUGUGUGUGUGUGUGUGCUUGUGCUUACUAUUCAGGGACAAUUUAUUGUCAAAUUGUUGUCUACACCCUUUUAAACAUAGGGCUUUCCAGUGCAAACUGCCCCCAUACAGUGGCAUAAGUGAAUGUACUGCUACUUGACUUGGGAAAUUAAGCUGUUGACUUAGAGCCAGCCUUUGAGACUGAUGUAAAAGUUGAUAGACUGGAAGAUCAUUUGAAAGUGAAAAGGGACUCCCUUUUGAAAUGUUGAUGUGAAUAAAGUCUGAGUUAAUGAAGCUUUUAUAGUCAUAAAGUUACUUUCAGAUAUCUACCCAAGUGUUUCUUUUGAAAGAGCUAAAAUGAUGCUCUAAGGGACAUUUGUUGAAGUGAAAACAGGAGUAAAAUAGUUUAUUACCCGUUGAUAUGUGUCAAGAUGAGAGUAUGCAGAGAAAACCAGGAAUUUUUCAUUGGUCGGUGUUUGUGGGUCAAAUAAUUUACCAAUACUCAGUUAAUCGUUUUGGUGUGUUAAGUCAAAUAUUUCUGAGAGAAGUUUUAAAGUGCUGUAAAAAGGUUCCCUGUGCAAGCUGGCCUGCUCCUUCCUGUCCCAAGGGUAUUCUACACACAGAAUUGUUACUGUUAGGCAAUGUAGGGAAAAGCCUGGAGACCGAAUAUGAAGACAAAAAUCUACUAAUGUGUCUGCUGCCGUGGCUUCAUGGAUUUCAUUGCUGCACUUUUGUCCUCUUCCUAUGGGUGAGCUACUCCACCUGGCACCAGGAGGCCAGGCCAUGCAGAACAUGUGGUUGUGGCUUCCCAGUAUGCAGAAUGUUUUGCCUCUGACCUGGCUUGAUUCUCUUUGCAGCAAAGAUUAGUGGAAAAGAGACAGGAAAAGAGACAGUCUAGCCAGUCUGUUCUGAAUAAUACUUUAAAAUCUUACAGAAACUAAAAAAACACUUUGCAGAUGGUUUGUAAUAGCUUUUGUAUAUAAAAAUAGAGAUGUCUUAGGUCUGACACUUGGUAGAGAGUGGUUUGUAACUGGUUUAUACUCUUUUACAACAUAUGUAUGCAAGGGACACACAGUUGUUUUUUCAGGGAUGGGGAAACUCACAAAGUGGGAGGAUAUUUUUGGCAAGCUAUUUUUGCAAAAAAAAAAA